This 67-nucleotide transfer RNA is filed under the name Alaudala cheleensis (Asian short-toed lark). Its description in RNAcentral is "tRNA-Ser". The record is from RNAcentral. Lineage: Eukaryota; Metazoa; Chordata; Aves; Passeriformes; Alaudidae.
GAGGGGGAGGACCAACCAACAAGAACUGCUAACUCUUGCCUCUGAGCCUAAAACCUCAGCCCCCUUA